GCUAUGUAUCUCGACAACUUUUCCUCUCACUAGAAUUCUACUUUUAAUUUUUAUAAUAAUAAUAAAGCCCUGCCCGUUUUAAGUAUUAUAACCCCUGAUCACUGAUGCCCUGUUCGACUGACGUAAGGCCCCGUAACGUAUGUCAAGGCUCUGCCUAAAUUCGUUGGGGUUCUGUCUCGUGACGUAGGGAUAAAAUGGAAUUGGGUUACUAUACUUAAUGUGAGUGCACUAUAUAUUUUAUUAAAUAAUCCAGAAGUUGUACCCAAAAUAUAACAACCCUCCUAGAACACCCCCGACACCCUACACUUCUAAAAUACACCCAUAUGCGAAAACGGGCCCCAAAUAACAUUAAAUAGUAUUAAAAAUAAUUAAAAACUGAAAUAUUAAGUUGAGGCGGGCCGCGUAGGACCCCACCCCAACCUUACGAUGGCGGUUUCAAGGUUGAAUCCUGAUUUCGUUUGAUUUCUUAAGUUCAGGCGGGCCGCGUAAGACCCCGAUUAGUUAACGCGGGCCGCGUGAGAUCAAUAUAGUGGCGCAGCCCGGUGAUGACACGUGUCAUCAUCGUGUCAAGUCUAGUUGGUGAUCCGGACGAGCUACGCUUUGACCGGGGUUUGACGCGAGCCGCGUAGGCCCUUGCCUCCUCUUACGUGGGCCGCGUAAAAGUCGGAUUUUAGCCCUAUAUAAGGAGGCAUCGAGCCUUCAGUCUGUUUCGUUCAAUUUUCUUUUCUCAAUCUCAAUUUCUGAAUAGUAGAAAUUAUACUCGGGUCUAAUACCCCCCUAAAUGGCGAGGUUCUGCUAUGAUGUAAGUAUCAUAACCCCUGGAGACGUGUUAGAUACUCUGCCCGAUUGAUCUAGGGUUCCGUAACGGCUGUCGUGGUUCUGCCCGACGUAGUCGUUGGAAUGCCGUCUCGGGGAGGAUUAUUCCCAGGAAAUCCUUACUGAAAACCCUAAGACAGCAAUGUGAGUAAUCCUCUUUUUGUUAAAUGUUUUUACAAAACCUCACUUAGUUAAAUAUAUACUAAGCAGUUAUUGAGUAUUUGUAAGAAUACAAUUAUCGUGGGUAUGUUGGGGUUUUGUAUACAAAAUUUGUUACUGGCGUGGUAACAUUGUUGAGUAUGACAGUACCACAGAUGUUAAUUGUUGUAUCUUGGAAACAAAUGUAAUUGCGGAUGUGCCCUCAAUACUGUGAAAUGGUUUUUACUUAAAUUUGAUUAAACUAGGAUUCACUCACCAGUAUUUCCUGCUUGUAAAAUAUUUUAAACACGUGUUUCAGGUAACUUUGUGUGAAGCCAAUAAAAGCCAGCUGGAGAGCAUUGGAGGCUUGGAAAAGUGGCAAUAAAGUUACCUAAAAUAAAAUAGAUGUUUUUAUUAAACAAAAUAGGCUUUAUUCCUAUGAAAAUGUGUGUACUAC
RNAcentral lists this long non-coding RNA (1411 nucleotides) under Helianthus annuus (common sunflower). Its description in RNAcentral is "hypothetical non coding rna". The record is from RNAcentral. Lineage: Eukaryota; Viridiplantae; Streptophyta; Magnoliopsida; Asterales; Asteraceae.